RNAcentral lists this non-coding RNA (129 nucleotides) under Pongo abelii (Sumatran orangutan). The record is from RNAcentral. Lineage: Eukaryota; Metazoa; Chordata; Mammalia; Primates; Hominidae.
GGCAUGAGCCAUCGCACCUGGCCAUCAAGCUGGAAAUUUUUAAGGUCUGUUUCUUUCCCAAUGUAGAGUAAAGGUUGGGAAAGGGAAGAGGGCUAGAAAUCUGACUUUAGCUCCCCGCUGAGGGCUGAA